ACAAAACAAAACAAAACCUUGGUACUGGUCAAGAAUGAUUGGUCAGGGUAGUCCAAAUGACUCCCCCAAAAUACAGAUUUUUAAUGUAGCCAUUGGUUGCCUCUCAGAGGUUAAGAUUGGUCCCUAUUGAUGAAAACACCACACACUUAGGGUACUUGACCCAGAUGACCCAAGCUGGAUCUGAUCUGAAAGCAUCUUUCUUAUGGUCUAGCCUUUCCUAUGGUUCCAGAAAAUACUAUGCAAGCUGCCAAGAGAGGGAAGCAAUUAAACGGUUCUUCCCAGAUGAAGCACCUAUGAACCAUGACAACGAUCAGAAAACUAUCCAGAAAUGUGCAAUGUGUGAAGCUAACAUGUUCGUGGUAACCAAGCUGUCUAGGUGGACGGAAGGUCCACUCAACAUCAGGAAAGUCAUAUUGAUACUACAAACCUAGCCAGCUUUCCACGGCUAGUAAAAUCAUAGGUAUUAGAAAAGAGUCAGCUACCAUCACUUUGUUAGACCAAUUUCUUACUACACUCUAAACCUUAUCCUUAUACCCACAGAUAAUGUAGCUACCAGCCCUCAUCAAAGAAGCCUCUCUUUACAGCAAAUGGAGAUUAUCAGAGAAAGCCACAACUGCACGCAAUGCAGAGGCCAACAGAAUGUGGUGAGCACAGCCCCUGCAGAUACAGCUAUAUCACAAUUCCUGUAGCUGUCAGGGGAGAGGCAGUGAAAAAGAUUAUUAAAGUCAGACCGCCAGGAGCCUGCUGUGAAACACUCUCUCCUAGAAAUGGCUGCACUCACUGGAUUGGAACUAUGGCACUAUCAAUGGGUCCAGUCCACCCGUAGCUGUUCCUCUCUCCAGCCGGGGCUUGUGGAGAUCAAGCUGUCAGGCAUUCCCAGGACACACCCCAAAGGCGGCCCCCAUCAUCAAGGUCACACCAUCUUCUCCCUAAACCCAGUACUCCUUCCUCUCUCACAGCCUUAUGGGAACAAGAGGAAGCCUGACUGCAACUAUAUAUCAUGGACUGCCUGGCCUGGAACCUUUCUCCUUCCUCUGACACACAUCUGAAGUGACUCCCUCACUCUGCCACGUGGACCUGCGCCCUCCUGAGAGCUGCCACCAUGCUGCCUAUGACACUGGGACCUAGUAUCUCAGAGACUAGGCCGUGCCUUCUGUUUGUCUGUCAAUGUCUCUCUUAGUAAUUAUCUUAUCUCUCCUCAAACCCUGAAUAUCAGUCUCCACUGGUGAGGUUUUCAGGUUCA
Molecule: long non-coding RNA, 1243 nt
Organism: Mesocricetus auratus (golden hamster)
Lineage: Eukaryota; Metazoa; Chordata; Mammalia; Rodentia; Cricetidae
Exons: 2
Source: RefSeq, a predicted model, not a curated record